GCCUGGGUAGCUCAGUCGGUAGAGCAAGGGAUUGAAAAUCCCUGUGUCGUUGGUUCGAUUCCAAUCCCAGGCACCA
RNAcentral lists this transfer RNA (76 nucleotides) under Rhodospirillaceae bacterium. Its description in RNAcentral is "tRNA-Phe". It matches the Rfam family "tRNA". Rfam says of the family: Transfer RNA (tRNA) molecules are approximately 80 nucleotides in length. Their secondary structure includes four short double-helical elements and three loops (D, anti-codon, and T loops). Further hydrogen bonds mediate the characteristic L-shaped molecular structure. tRNAs have two regions of fundamental functional importance: the anti-codon, which is responsible for specific mRNA codon recognition, and the 3' end, to which the tRNAs corresponding amino acid is attached (by aminoacyl-tRNA synthetases). tRNAs cope with the degeneracy of the genetic code in two manners: having more than one tRNA (with a specific anti-codon) for a particular amino acid; and 'wobble' base-pairing, i.e. permitting non-standard base-pairing at the 3rd anti-codon position. The record is from RNAcentral. Lineage: Bacteria; Pseudomonadati; Pseudomonadota; Alphaproteobacteria; Rhodospirillales; Rhodospirillaceae.